GAUGAACGCUGGCGGCGUGCCUAGUACAUGCAAGUCGAGCGAACAGACGAGGAGCUUGCUCCUCUGACGUUAGCGGCGGACGGGUGAGUAACACGUGGAUAACCUACCUAUAAGACUGGGAUAACUUCGGGAAACCGGAGCUAAUACCGGAUAAUAUAUUGAACCGCAUGGUUCAAUAGUGAAAGACGGUUUUGCUGUCACUUAUAGAUGGAUCCGCGCCGCAUUAGCUAGUUGGUAAGGUAACGGCUUACCAAGGCAACGAUGCGUAGCCGACCUGAGAGGGUGAUCGGCCACACUGGAACUGAGACACGGUCCAGACUCCUACGGGAGGCAGCAGUAGGGAAUCUUCCGCAAUGGGCGAAGGCCUGACGGAGCAACGCCGCGUGAGUGAUGAAGGUCUUCGGAUCGUAAAACUCUGUUAUUAGGGAAGAACAAAUGUGUAAGUAACUAUGCACGUCUUGACGGUACCUAAUCAGAAAGCCACGGCUAACUACGUG
This 497-nucleotide ribosomal RNA is filed under the name uncultured bacterium. RNAcentral describes it as "partial 16S ribosomal RNA". It matches the Rfam family "Bacterial small subunit ribosomal RNA", at positions 28 to 507 of the family's 1533-position model. The record is from RNAcentral.